UACAGACGUCUCAAGCGUUGUUCGGAUUCAUUGGGCGUAAAGGGUGCGUAGGCGGCGCGGUAAGUCGGGUGUGAAAUCUUGGAGCUUAACUCCGAAACUGCAUUCGAUACUGCCGUGCUUGAGGACUGGAGAGGAGACUGGAAUUUACGGUGUAGCGGUGAAAUGCGUAGAUAUCGGAAGGAACGCCGGUGGCGAAAGCGGCGUGCUGGACCUCUUCUGACGCUGAGGCGCGAAAGCCAGGGGAGCGAACGGG
RNAcentral lists this ribosomal RNA (253 nucleotides) under uncultured bacterium. RNAcentral describes it as "partial 16S ribosomal RNA". It matches the Rfam family "Bacterial small subunit ribosomal RNA", at positions 524 to 776 of the family's 1533-position model. The record is from RNAcentral.